UACGAAGGGGGCUAGCGUUGCUCGGAAUCACUGGGCGUAAAGGGUGCGCAGGCGGGCCAUUAAGUCAGGGGUGAAAGACGGUUGCUCAACAAUCGCAGUGCCUUUGAUACUGGUGGUCUUGGGUAACCUUGAGGUAGGCGGAAUGGGUGGUGUAGCGGUGAAAUGCAUAGAUACCACCCAGAACUCCGAUUGCGAAGGCAGCCUACUGGAGGUUCACCGACGCUCAGGCACGAAAGCGUGGGGAUCAAACAGG
RNAcentral lists this ribosomal RNA (253 nucleotides) under uncultured bacterium. Its description in RNAcentral is "partial 16S ribosomal RNA". It matches the Rfam family "Bacterial small subunit ribosomal RNA", at positions 524 to 776 of the family's 1533-position model. The record is from RNAcentral.